AUGAUUGGGCAGCCCGUCCCAUCGCCACCCAUCCCCGUACUCCCUACGCGGACACGUCGCGCGCCCGCACGCCGCCGGAGCCCACCACGUUCCGCUCAGUGGUCAGCCGGAACAAAAUCCCUACCCCGCACCACGCCACCCACCCCCGUAUCCCGCACCCCCACUGACACGCCACGCCCCACACCCUCGCCCGCACCCGAUUCCCACGAGGCCAAUCGGCGGGCGCGGCGGCCGAGAGAUCCCGAGCAGCGACAGGAGGCACGAGGCGUGGGAUCUGGCCGUGUGCGCGAGGCAAAGGUCAGUGGGAGCGCAGGCCUACUUUAUUACCCGGCGCGCACUAAUCCAGAUUUGGGGCCGUGGGUGUGUAGGUUUCGUCGCUGUGGGGCGACGUUUUAA
RNAcentral lists this ribosomal RNA (396 nucleotides) under Triticum aestivum (bread wheat). Its description in RNAcentral is "partial small subunit ribosomal RNA". The record is from RNAcentral. Lineage: Eukaryota; Viridiplantae; Streptophyta; Magnoliopsida; Poales; Poaceae.